UGGGGAAUUUUGGACAAUGGGCGAAAGCCUGAUCCAGCAAUGCCGCGUGUGUGAAGAAGGCCUUCGGGUUGUAAAGCACUUUUGUCCGGAAAGAAAUCCUUGGCUCUAAUACAGUCGGGGGAUGGCGGGUACCGGAAGAAUAAGCACCGGCUAACUACGUGCCAGCAGCCGCGGUAAUACGUAGGGUGCAAGCGUUAAUCGGAAUUACUGGGCGUAAAGCGUGCGCAGGCGGUUUGCUAAGACCGAUGUGAAAUCCCCGGGCUCAACCUGGGAACUGCAUUGGUGACUGGCAGGCUAGAGUAUGGCAGAGGGGGGUAGAAUUCCACGUGUAGCAGUGAAAUGCGUAGAGAUGUGGAGGAAUACCGAUGGCGAAGGCAGCCCCCUGGGCCAAUACUGACGCUCAUGCACGAAAGCGUGGGGAGCAAACAGGAUUAGAUACCCUGGUAGUCCACGCCCUAAACGAUGUCAACUAGUUGUUGGGGAUUCAUUUCCUUAGUAACGUAGCUAACGCGUGAAGUUGACCGCCUGGGGAGUACGGUCGCAAGAUUAAAACUCAAAUGAAUUGACGGGGUCAUAGCUGUUUCCU
Molecule: ribosomal RNA, 586 nt
Filed under: uncultured bacterium
Lineage: Bacteria
Description: partial 16S ribosomal RNA
Rfam family: Bacterial small subunit ribosomal RNA
Source: RNAcentral